RNAcentral lists this ribosomal RNA (943 nucleotides) under Bacillus pumilus. RNAcentral's name for it is "bacterial SSU rRNA". It matches the Rfam family "Bacterial small subunit ribosomal RNA", at positions 409 to 1345 of the family's 1533-position model. Lineage: Bacteria; Bacillati; Bacillota; Bacilli; Caryophanales; Bacillaceae. The record is from RNAcentral.
UGAAGGUUUUCGGAUCGUAAAGCUCUGUUGUUAGGGAAGAACAAGUGCGAGAGUAACUGCUCGCACCUUGACGGUACCUAACCAGAAAGCCACGGCUAACUACGUGCCAGCAGCCGCGGUAAUACGUAGGUGGCAAGCGUUGUCCGGAAUUAUUGGGCGUAAAGGGCUCGCAGGCGGUUUCUUAAGUCUGAUGUGAAAGCCCCCGGCUCAACCGGGGAGGGUCAUUGGAAACUGGGAAACUUGAGUGCAGAAGAGGAGAGUGGAAUUCCACGUGUAGCGGUGAAAUGCGUAGAGAUGUGGAGGAACACCAGUGGCGAAGGCGACUCUCUGGUCUGUAACUGACGCUGAGGAGCGAAAGCGUGGGGAGCGAACAGGAUUAGAUACCCUGGUAGUCCACGCCGUAAACGAUGAGUGCUAAGUGUUAGGGGGUUUCCGCCCCUUAGUGCUGCAGCUAACGCAUUAAGCACUCCGCCUGGGGAGUACGGUCGCAAGACUGAAACUCAAAGGAAUUGACGGGGGCCCGCACAAGCGGUGGAGCAUGUGGUUUAAUUCGAAGCAACGCGAAGAACCUUACCAGGUCUUGACAUCCUCUGACAACCCUAGAGAUAGGGCUUUCCCUUCGGGGACAGAGUGACAGGUGGUGCAUGGUUGUCGUCAGCUCGUGUCGUGAGAUGUUGGGUUAAGUCCCGCAACGAGCGCAACCCUUGAUCUUAGUUGCCAGCAUUCAGUUGGGCACUCUAAGGUGACUGCCGGUGACAAACCGGAGGAAGGUGGGGAUGACGUCAAAUCAUCAUGCCCCUUAUGACCUGGGCUACACACGUGCUACAAUGGACAGAACAAAGGGCUGCAAGACCGCAAGGUUUAGCCAAUCCCAUAAAUCUGUUCUCAGUUCGGAUCGCAGUCUGCAACUCGACUGCGUGAAGCUGGAAUCGCUAGUAAUCGC